This 62-nucleotide ribosomal RNA is filed under the name Amanita javanica. RNAcentral's name for it is "partial 28S ribosomal RNA". Lineage: Eukaryota; Fungi; Basidiomycota; Agaricomycetes; Agaricales; Amanitaceae. The record is from RNAcentral.
UUGACCUCAAAUCAAGCAAGACUACCCGCUGAACUUAAGCAUAUCAAUAGGCCGGAAGGAAA